This 253-nucleotide ribosomal RNA is filed under the name uncultured Eubacteriales bacterium. Its description in RNAcentral is "uncultured Clostridiales bacterium partial 16S ribosomal RNA". It matches the Rfam family "Bacterial small subunit ribosomal RNA", at positions 524 to 776 of the family's 1533-position model. The record is from RNAcentral. Lineage: Bacteria; Bacillati; Bacillota; Clostridia; Eubacteriales.
UACGUAGGGGGCAAGCGUUAUCCGGAAUUACUGGGUGUAAAGGGAGCGUAGACGGUGAUGUAAGUCUGGAGUGAAAGGCGGGGGCCCAACCCCCGGACUGCUCUGGAAACUAUAUGACUGGAGUGCAGGAGAGGUGAGCGGAAUUCCUAGUGUAGCGGUGAAAUGCGUAGAUAUUAGGAGGAACACCAGUGGCGAAGGCGGCCGCCUGGCCUGUUACUGACGCUGAGGCACGAAAGCGUGGGGAGCAAAUAGG